UGUAGUUGUGUUCUGGGUGUGUAUUUCUACAAUUUUACAAUUUCAUUUAGCAGACACUUUUGUCCAAAGCGACGUACAACAUAAGCAAGAAUUUAGACUUGAGGGAAAAACCCUUAGUAAGUGCAAAAAGUGCUUCAAGUUUGAUUGGCUGCAGGCACUGCCA
Long non-coding RNA from Sphaeramia orbicularis (orbiculate cardinalfish), 163 nucleotides. RefSeq lists it as uncharacterized. The transcript has 4 exons. The record is from RefSeq and is a predicted model, not a curated record. NCBI's taxonomy places the organism in Eukaryota, Metazoa, Chordata, Actinopteri, Kurtiformes, Apogonidae.